This 446-nucleotide ribosomal RNA is filed under the name uncultured soil bacterium. Its description in RNAcentral is "bacterial SSU rRNA". It matches the Rfam family "Bacterial small subunit ribosomal RNA", at positions 26 to 518 of the family's 1533-position model. The record is from RNAcentral.
AGAACGAACGCUGGCGGCAUGCCUAAUACAUGCAAGUCGAACGAACUCUUCGGAGUUAGUGGCGCACGGGUGCGUAACGCGUGGGAAUCUGCCCUUGGGUUCGGAAUAACAGUUGGAAACGACUGCUAAUACCGGAUGAUGACGAAAGUCCAAAGAUUUAUCGCCCAGGGAUGAGCCCGCGUAGGAUUAGCUAGUUGGUGAGGUAAAGGCUCACCAAGGCGACGAUCCUUAGCUGGUCUGAGAGGAUGAUCAGCCACACUGGGACUGAGACACGGCCCAGACUCCUACGGGAGGCAGCAGUAGGGAAUAUGGACAAUGGGCGAAAGCCUGAUCCAGCAAUGCCGCGUGAGUGAUGAAGGCCUUAGGUUGUAAAGCUCUUUUACCGAGAUGAUAAAUGACAGUAUCGGAAGAAUAAGCCCCGGCUAAACUCCGUGCCAGCAGCCGAC